AAAAAACAAAUAAAAAAUGGCGGAAGAUGUGGGAGAAGCAGAACAAAGACUCUACAUUUAAAAAAGGAAAACAUUCAUACCAGGGAACAACCAUAACAAAGAUGGACUAAAUCUACAUUUAUAUGCAUAGGCGAGAGCUAGUCAAAAUAAACUUGGAAAAAUGAGCAUAAGAACAGGGAGUAACCCUUCUGGACAGACUCAACACUCAUAACCGAACAUGAAAAAAAA
This 228-nucleotide long non-coding RNA is filed under the name Solanum tuberosum (potato). RNAcentral's name for it is "long non-coding RNA (STUB_LNC000531)". Lineage: Eukaryota; Viridiplantae; Streptophyta; Magnoliopsida; Solanales; Solanaceae. The record is from RNAcentral.